AGUCAGAAGAAUGUGGGAUGCGCAUAGCUAGCUAAACCCAAGUAGGUGGAGUAAGUAAAUGUAACCUUUUAGUGCUUAGCCUAUUAGAUAGAGACAAGUAUGCAUAAUUAUGGUAUUUGGUAUAAAUACACGCUAUCUCGGGCAAUAAAGUUGAUCAUGCUUUAUCACUCACAUUGAGUCGGCCUGCAUGUUUUCCUCAGCCGCACACUCGCACUAAACCUUAAAAUUUCACGGUUAACUUUGACUGCAAGAUUGCUAAACUAGAAACAAACUGGAAUAUUUGUAAAAUUGACCUGCUUUUUCCCUGUUUUCCAGUGAGACAGAAAGAAUAUAAGAGGGUUUCUUUAAUGGAUACAGCACCAUAGAAAUUAUUGAAAAUUACUUGAGAAAAAUCACCUUUCUUUUUUCUGCUCUUUUCUUUUUCUACUUAAAAGUUUCUCUGGUGAUAUGUUGAACUUUACUGAUAACAUAUGGAACAACAUUUAUUUACAAGGAUUAGGUGGAGAAAGCUGCAAAGAAAAAAAAAAUGAUGCAAACCACAAGCUCACGUGCUGAGUUAAUGCUGGGGGUGAAGGAAUGACAAAAAGGACACAUCCUGGGAAUUUAUAGAUGUUGCAGAAUAUGGAGGAAAACUAUAGGCCUUCUGUGGCAAUGCAAGCUACCAGAUGAAUAUACCGGAUUUCAAGUGGGGUUCCUGGAACCAAGGAAACUUGAAGAACGAGUCUGCUGUGGCAUUCAAGCUGGUAAGCGGCAUCUCUUGCAAGAGAGGCUGAUGAGGCUUGUGCAUUUCCAGCAGCAACUGUGGGAGAUUUAAAUGGUUCUAGGGAGCGUAGGUGACAAGGGUAAGCAAACGGGCAUGGCAUUUUGCACAGCAGAUCACGCAGGCAGGGCAUCCAGGAAGGAUGCUGCAGGCUACUCGUAGGUCCACAGCCCAAAGCAGUACUCUGGGUCUCUGUCAU
This is a long non-coding RNA of Columba livia (rock pigeon), 959 nucleotides long. RefSeq lists it as uncharacterized. The record is from RefSeq and is a predicted model, not a curated record. Lineage: Eukaryota; Metazoa; Chordata; Aves; Columbiformes; Columbidae. The transcript has 3 exons.